RNAcentral lists this ribosomal RNA (520 nucleotides) under uncultured Acaulospora. Its description in RNAcentral is "SSU rRNA". It matches the Rfam family "Eukaryotic small subunit ribosomal RNA", at positions 569 to 1089 of the family's 1831-position model. Lineage: Eukaryota; Fungi; Glomeromycota; Glomeromycetes; Diversisporales; Acaulosporaceae. The record is from RNAcentral.
AGCAGCCGCGGUAAUUCCAGCUCCAAUAGCGUAUAUUAAAGUUGUUGCAGUUAAAAAGCUCGUAGUUGAAUUUCGGGGUUUAUCCGUCGGUCGGGCUUUCGGGUCUGUACUGGCGUGAUGGAUUCCUACCUUCUGAAUAACCGGCAUGUCAUUAAUUUGGUGCGCCGGGGAAGCAGGACUGUUACCUUGAAAAAAUUAGAGUGCUUAAAGCAGGCUUAUGCCUGAAUACAUUAGCAUGGAAUAAUGAAAUAGGACGGCAUGGUUCUAUUUUGUUGGUUUCUAGGAUCACCGUAAUGAUUAAUAGGGAUAGUUGGGGGCAUUAGUAUUCAAUUGUCAGAGGUGAAAUUCUUGGAUUUAUUGAAGACUAACUACUGCGAAAGCAUUUGCCAAGGAUGUUUUCAUUAAUCGAGAACGAAAGUUAGGGGAUCGAAGACGAUCAGAUACCGUCGUAGUCUUAACCAUAAACUAUGCCGACUAGGGAUCGGAUGAUGUUAAUUUUUAAUGACUCAUUCGGCGCCUU